GUAAUAUGGUCAAGCUACUAAGGGCGUACGGUGAAUGCCUUGGCGCUAGAAGCCUAUGAAGGACGUGGUAGACUGCGAAAAGCUUCGGGGAGCUGUCUGCGUGCUUUGAUCCGAAGAUAUCCGAAUGAGGAAACUUUUAACGUGUUAACGUUAAGCCGUGGGAUAAAUAAAAUAGUCCUACGGAGACAACCGGGUGAAGUGAAACAUCUCAGUAACCCGAGGAAAAGAGAAUCCCCUUACGGGGAUCAUUUCCCUAGUAGUGGCGAGCGAACGGGAAGGAGUCUAAACCUUUUGCAAUUAUAGCCUGCACGCGUUUUGCAAGAGGUGUCGCGGGACGGUCAUGCUGCUGUGCAAAGCAGCGUCCGAGUUAAAAAUCGUAAUCUAGUCGAAUAUCCUGGAACGGAUAACCAUAGACGGUGAUAGUCCGGUAGACGAAAGAUUUACGGUCUCGGAGACAUGUUCCCAAGUACUGCGGGACACGUGAAAUUCUGCAGGAAUCCGGCCAGACCACUGGCUAAGACUAAAUACUCUCUAGCGACCGAUAGUGAACAAGUACCGCGAGGGAAAGGUGAAAAGAACCCUUAAGAAGGGAGUCAAAAGAACCUGAAACCGUAUGCCUACAAGCAGUCAGAGCCCGCCGCAAGGCGUGGUGAUGGCGUGCCUAUUGGUUAAUGAGCCUGCGAGUUAGUCGGUGUAGCAAGGUUAAGCAGCCUUGAGCUGUGGAGCCGUAGCGAAAGCGAGUGUUAAUAGCGCGAUAGUUACAUCGAUUAGACCCGAAGCCAAGUGAUCUACCCUUGUCCAGGAUGAAGUAAGCGUAACAGCUUAUGGAGGUCCGAACGGGUGAUUGUUGCAAAAAUCUCCGAUGAGGUGAGGGUAGGAGUGAAAAGCUAAUCGAACUUGGUGAUAGCUGGUUCUCCUUGAAAUAGCUUUAAGGCUAGCCUCGAAAUUAUAACAGUGGGGGUAGAGCUCUGAUUGGUCUAUGGGGUUGAAUAAACCUGCAGAAACCAUUCAAACUCCGAAUACCAUUGUGUAGAUUUCGGGAGUCAGAAUAUGAGCGCUAAGGUCCAUAUUCGAGAGGGAAACAGCCCAGACCAUCAGCUAAGGUCCCUAAAUUUAUACUAAGUGGCAAAGGAUGUGAAAUUACUUAAACAGCCAGGAUGUUGGCUUAGAAGCAGCCAUCAUUUAAAGAGUGCGUAACAGCUCACUGGUCGAGUGAUUUUGCGCCGAAAAUGUCCGGGGCUAAAGUAUAGUACCGAAGCUAUGGACUUGUCCCGCAAGGGAAGAGUGGUAAAGGAGCGUUCUAUUGUAGUGUGAAGUGUGACCGAGAGGUUACAUGGACGAAUUAGAAGUGAUGAUGCAGGCAUAAGUAGCGUAAAUCAAAGUGAAAAACUUUGACGCCGUAAAUCUAAGGUUUCCUUGAGCUAGGUUAAUCCUCUCAGGGUAAGUCGGGAACCUAAGUCGAGACCGAAAGGUGUAGAUGAUGGAUAACAGGUUAAUAUUCCUGUACUAUGGUAAAGUCGUUAUCAGCGAUGGGGCGACGCAGUAGGAUAGGUCAGCAUACGGCCGGUAGUGUAUGUCUAAGCUCUUAGGCGGGGUUGCCAGGUAAAUCCGGCGGCUCAUUAAACGCUGAAAAGUGAUGGGUAGUAUACGGGGAGACUUGUAUAUGAAUUGAUUGAUUCCACACUGACGAGAAAUAACCUCUAGUCAGACUUUAUCGUAUCCGUACCGUAAACCGACUCAGGUAGAUGGGUAGAAGAUACCAAGGCGUUCGAGAGAACUUCUGUUAAGGAACUCGGCCUAAUCACCCCGUAACUUCGGGAGAAGGGGUGCAACAUUAGCGUGUAGUUGUUAACUCAGCUAUGCGUGAAGUUGCCGCAGUGAAUAGGCUUGGAUGACUGUUUAACAAAAACACAGGACUCUGCUAACUCGUAAGAGGAUGUAUAGGGUCUGAUGCCUGCCCAGUGCCGGAAGGUCAUGAGGAGAGGUUAGUCGCAAGACGAAGCUUUGAAUCUAAGCCCCGGUAAACGGCGGCCGUAACUAUAACGGUCCUAAGGUAGCGAAAUCCCUCGUCGGGUAAAUUCCGACCUGCAUGAAUGGCACAACAAUCCAGGCACUGUCUCAACAGAAGACUCGGCGAAAUUGUAGUUCCUGUGAAGAUGCAGGAUACCUGCAGCUAGACGAAAAGACCCCAUGAAGCUUUACUGUAACUUGGUACUGGAUUUUGAAUCGAUUUGUAGAGAAUAGGUAGGAGGCGUUGAAGCAUUGCCGCUAGGUGAUGUGGAGCCGAACAGUGGAAUACUACCCUCGUUGUUUUGAGAUCCUAAUCUGAACCGUAAUCCGGUUUGGAGACAAUGCCUGGUGGGCAGUUUAACUGGGGCGGUUUCCUCCUAAAGAGUAACGGAGGUGUACAAAGGUUCCCUCAGCGCGGUUGGAAAUCGCGUGUUGAGUGUAAAGGCAUAAGGGAGCUUAACUGCAAGACCGACGGGUCAAGCAGAUACGAAAGUAGGUCUUAGUGAUCCGGUGAUACCGAGUGGAAGGGUCAUCGCUCAACGGACAAAAGCUACUCUGGGGAUAACAGGCUGAUCGCAUCCAAGAGUUCAUAUCGACGAUGCGGUUUGGCACCUCGAUGUCGGCUCAUCGCAUCCUGGGGGUGAAGUAGCUCCCAAGGGUUUGGCUGUUCGCCAAUUAAAGCGGUACGUGAGCUGGGUUCAAAACGUCGUGAGACAGUUUGGUCUCUAUCUGCUGUGGGCGCAGGAUAUUUGCGGGGAGCUAUUCCUAGUACGAGAGGACCGGAAUGGACGAACCUCUGGUGUAUCGGUUAUCAUGCCAAUGGUAAUGCCGAGUAGCUAUGUUCGGACGAGAUAAACGCUGAAAGCAUAUAAGUGUGAAACUCGCCCCAAGAUUAGAUAUCCCUGAAGGCAACUUAUAGACUAUGAGUUUGAUAGGCCGGGAGUGUAAGGCACGCGAGUGUUUCAGCUAACCGGUACUAAUCUGCCGUUCGGCUUGACCAUAU
Molecule: ribosomal RNA, 3013 nt
Filed under: Candidatus Firestonebacteria bacterium RifOxyC12_full_39_7
Lineage: Bacteria; Candidatus Firestoneibacteriota
Also listed under: 2 other names
Description: bacterial LSU rRNA
Rfam family: Bacterial large subunit ribosomal RNA
Source: RNAcentral